GGUGUCCACACAGAUUGUCUGAUGAUAAGAAAGAGUCAAAAGCGUCUUGCGAAGCUGACAAGUGAUGUCCCCUUCGUCUAGAGGCCCAGGACACCGCCCUUUCACGGCGGUAACAGGGGUUCGAAUCCCCUAGGGGACGCCAAUAUGACUGACGGUGGGUGAAAGACACGGUCAACGCUAACCUAAAACUGAUUAGAGAUAGUCAGGUUUAUGUUAUCUGCUCUUUAACAAUCCGGAACAAGCUGAAUAAUUUGAAACGACGGCAUGCGAAUGUGAAUUUGUGUGUUGGUCGAGUCUCUCAAUAUACCCGCAUCCCGAGACAUUUUCGGGUUGUGAGGUUAAGCGACUAAGCGUACACGGUGGAUGCCUAGGCAGUCAGAGGCGAUGAAGGGCGUGCUAAUCUGCGAUAAGCGUCGGCA
RNAcentral lists this unclassified non-coding RNA (419 nucleotides) under Dickeya dadantii. RNAcentral's name for it is "partial contains 16S-23S ribosomal RNA intergenic spacer and 23S ribosomal RNA". The stretch from base 67 to 139 matches the Rfam family "tRNA". Lineage: Bacteria; Pseudomonadati; Pseudomonadota; Gammaproteobacteria; Enterobacterales; Pectobacteriaceae. The record is from RNAcentral.